Molecule: non-coding RNA, 744 nt
Organism: Tinamus guttatus (white-throated tinamou)
Lineage: Eukaryota; Metazoa; Chordata; Aves; Tinamiformes; Tinamidae
Source: the annotation of a RefSeq genome assembly
GCCGGCGUCUUGGUGGCCCAGGUGGCCAAGCUGACGUGCCGCGUGCUCAACCUGCCCAACGUGGAGGGCUUGGCCAUCUCGUGGCGCAAGGAGUCGGAGCAGGAGCUGGAGACCAGGACGCUGCCCCGGGUGCUGCAGCCCAACGGGCUCUACAGCGUGGACGGCGUCGCCAGCGUCUGCGCCGACGAGUGGGACAAGGGCGACGGCUACACGUGCCGCGUGAGCCACCCCGACCUGGUCUUCCCCGUGGAGGAGACGCUGCGCAAGAAGAACGGUGAGCGGCUUCCCUUGGGGCGUUUUGGGGCCGGAAACGCGAGAUUCGGCACCACCGCUUUGGGUUUUGGGGGGAAAACGGGAGAACUGGGUGCGUUGGGCGUCCACUCCAUGAAAUGGGGGUUUCUCAUUGCAAGGAGAUCGUUGGGCGCCUCCUCCAUCUUCUUUUGGGCGUUGUGGCCCAGAAGUCGGUGGACAAGUCCUCGGGUAAACCCACCUCGGUCAACGUGUCCCUGGUGCUCGCGGACGCCGCCGCCGCCUGUUACUAACCCCAAAAUCUGCAAUUUCACCUACAGCGCCCUGAGCGUGGCCGGCGCCGACUGGGCCGCGGGCAACGUCUACACGUGUCUCGUGGGCCACGAGAAGCUGCCCCUGCAGGUGGCCCAGAAGUCGGUGGACAAGUCCUCGGGUAAACCCACCUCGGUCAACGUGUCCCUGGUGCUCGCGGACGCCGCCGCCGCCUGUUACUAA